Molecule: transfer RNA, 90 nt
Filed under: Verrucomicrobiia bacterium Tous-C5FEB
Lineage: Bacteria; Pseudomonadati; Verrucomicrobiota; Verrucomicrobiia
Description: Verrucomicrobiae bacterium Tous-C5FEB tRNA-Ser
Rfam family: tRNA
About the family: Transfer RNA (tRNA) molecules are approximately 80 nucleotides in length. Their secondary structure includes four short double-helical elements and three loops (D, anti-codon, and T loops).
Source: RNAcentral
GGAACGGUGGCUGAGUGGUCGAAAGCACUCCCUUGCUAAGGGAACGUAGCAGAAAUGCUACCGAGGGUUCGAAUCCCUCCCGUUCCGCCA